AGUGAACGCUGGCGGUAGGCCUAACACAUGCAAGUCGAACGGCAGCACCGUAAGAGCUUGCUCUUACGGGUGGCGAGUGGCGGACGGGUGAGGAAUACAUCGGAAUCUACUUUUUCGUGGGGGAUAACGUAGGGAAACUUACGCUAAUACCGCAUACGACCUACGGGUGAAAGCAGGGGAUCUUCGGACCUUGCGCGAUUGAAUGAGCCGAUGUCGGAUUAGCUAGUUGGCGGGGUAAAGGCCCACCAAGGCGACGAUCCGUAGCUGGUCUGAGAGGAUGAUCAGCCACACUGGAACUGAGACACGGUCCAGACUCCUACGGGAGGCAGCAGUGGGGAAUAUUGGGCAAGGGGCGAGAGCCUGAUCCAGCCAUACCGCGUGGAUGAAGAAGGACUUCGGGUUGUAAAGCCCUGAUGUUGGGAAAGAAAAGCAGCAGGUUAAUACCCCACUGUACUGACGGUACCCAAAGAAUAAGCACCGGCUAACUUCGUG
RNAcentral lists this ribosomal RNA (492 nucleotides) under uncultured bacterium. Its description in RNAcentral is "partial 16S ribosomal RNA". It matches the Rfam family "Bacterial small subunit ribosomal RNA", at positions 29 to 507 of the family's 1533-position model. The record is from RNAcentral.